RNAcentral lists this ribosomal RNA (400 nucleotides) under phytoplankton environmental sample. Its description in RNAcentral is "partial small subunit ribosomal RNA". It matches the Rfam family "Eukaryotic small subunit ribosomal RNA", at positions 587 to 966 of the family's 1831-position model. The record is from RNAcentral.
AGCUCUAAUAGCGUAUAUUAAAGUUGUUGCGGUUAAAAAGCUCGUAGUUUAAAUUCGGUGGGCGAAGUUGAUGCCGUCGGGUGGAGACACUCGGCGGUGUCGUCGUCCGCAUACAAUUUGUUGCGUCGACUCUCCCGCUCAUUCACUUGGGUGGGAUUCCGAGUUACGUGACCUUUUACUUUGAGUAAAUUAGAGUGUUCAAAGCAGACAAACCUUGUCAGUCAUUGAAUAUUGUAGCAUGGGAUAAUGAAAUAAGACUUUGAUUUUAUUUUUUUAUUGGUUUCUAAAAUCACAAGUAAUGAUUAAUAGGGACAGUUGGGGGCAUUAGUAUUUAAAUGUCAGUGGUGAAAUACUUGGAUUUUUUAAAGACUAACUAGUGCGAAAGCAUUUGUCAAGGAUG